This 372-nucleotide ribosomal RNA is filed under the name uncultured bacterium. RNAcentral describes it as "bacterial SSU rRNA". It matches the Rfam family "Bacterial small subunit ribosomal RNA", at positions 524 to 898 of the family's 1533-position model. The record is from RNAcentral.
UACGGAGGAUCCGAGCGUUAUCCGGAUUUAUUGGGUUUAAAGGGAGCGUAGGUGGAUUGUUAAGUCAGUUGUGAAAGUUUGCGGCUCAACCGUAAAAUUGCAGUUGAAACUGGCAGUCUUGAGUACAGUAGAGGUGGGCGGAAUUCGUGGUGUAGCGGUGAAAUGCUUAGAUAUCACGAAGAACUCCGAUUGCGAAGGCAGCUCACUAGACUGUUACUGACACUGAUGCUCGAAAGUGUGGGUAUCAAACAGGAUUAGAUACCCUGGUAGUCCACACAGUAAACGAUGAAUACUCGCUGUUUGCGAUAUACAGUAAGCGGCCAAGCGAAAGCAUUAAGUAUUCCACCUGGGGAGUACGCCGGCAACGGUGAA